Molecule: ribosomal RNA, 301 nt
Filed under: uncultured bacterium
Lineage: Bacteria
Description: partial 16S ribosomal RNA
Rfam family: Bacterial small subunit ribosomal RNA
Source: RNAcentral
CAGCAGCCACGGGAACACGAAGGGUGCAAGCGUUAAUCGGAAUUACUGGGCGUAAAGCGUGCGUAGGCGGUGAGUUGAGUCUGCUGUGAAAUCCCCGGGCUCAACCUGGGAAUGGCAGUGGAUACUGGCUCGCUAGAGUGUGUCAGAGGAUGGUGGAAUUCCCGGUGUAGCGGUGAAAUGCGUAGAGAUCGGGAGGAACAUCAGUGGCGAAGGCGGCCAUCUGGAUCAACACUGACGCUGAGGCACGAAAGCGUGGGGAGCAAACAGGAUUAGAUACCCCCGUAGUCCCUGUCUCUUAUAC